UUGGAGGGCAAGUCUGGUGCCAGCAGCCGCGGUAAUUCCAGCUCCAAUAGCGUAUAUUAAAGUUGUUGCAGUUAAAAAGCUCGUAGUCGAAUUUCGGGAUCAGUUGGUCGGUCGUGCCUCGGUACGUACUGGUCAAAUUGAUUCCUACCUUCUGACGAACCACGAUGUCAUUAAUUUGGUGUCGCGGGAAAUCAGGACUGUUACUUUGAAAAAAUUAGAGUGUUUAAAGCAGGCUCGCGCUUGAAUACAUUAGCAUGGAAUAAUGAAAUAGGACGUUUGAUUCUAUUUUGUUGGUUUCUAGGAUCGACGUAAUGAUUAAUAGGGAUAGUUGGGGGCAUUAGUAUUCAAUUGUCAGAGGUGAAAUUCUUGGAUUUAUUGAAGACUAACUACUGCGAAAGCAUUUGCCAAGGAUGUUUUCAUUAAUCAAGAACGAAAGUUAGGGGAUCGAAGACGAUCAGAUACCGUCGUAGUCUUAACCAUAAACUAUGCCGACUAGGGAUCGGAUGAUGUUAAUUUUUUAAUGACUCAUUCGGCGCCUUACGGGAAAC
This 548-nucleotide ribosomal RNA is filed under the name uncultured Glomeromycotina. RNAcentral describes it as "SSU rRNA". It matches the Rfam family "Eukaryotic small subunit ribosomal RNA", at positions 548 to 1098 of the family's 1831-position model. Lineage: Eukaryota; Fungi; Glomeromycota. The record is from RNAcentral.